GACGAACGCUGGCGGCGUGCUUAACACAUGCAAGUCGAACGGAAAGGCCCUGCUUUUGUGGGGUGCUCGAGUGGCGAACGGGUGAGUAACACGUGAGUAACCUGCCCUUGACUUUGGGAUAACUUCAGGAAACUGGGGCUAAUACCGGAUAGGAGCUCCUGCUGCAUGGUGGGGGUUGGAAAGUUUCGGCGGUUGGGGAUGGACUCGCGGCUUAUCAGCUUGUUGGUGGGGUAGUGGCUUACCAAGGCUUUGACGGGUAGCCGGCCUGAGAGGGUGACCGGCCACAUGGGGACUGAGAUACGGCCCAGACUCCUACGGGAGGCAGCAGUGGGGAAUAUUGCAAAAUGGGCGGAAGCCUGAUGCAGCAACGCCGCGUGCGGGAUGACGGCCUUCGGGUUGUAAACCGCUUUCGACUGUGACGAAGCGUGAGUGACGGUAAUGGGUAAAGAAGCACCGGCUAACUACGUG
This 468-nucleotide ribosomal RNA is filed under the name uncultured bacterium. Its description in RNAcentral is "partial 16S ribosomal RNA". It matches the Rfam family "Bacterial small subunit ribosomal RNA", at positions 28 to 507 of the family's 1533-position model. The record is from RNAcentral.